RNAcentral lists this ribosomal RNA (468 nucleotides) under uncultured bacterium. Its description in RNAcentral is "partial 16S ribosomal RNA". It matches the Rfam family "Bacterial small subunit ribosomal RNA", at positions 28 to 507 of the family's 1533-position model. The record is from RNAcentral.
GACGAACGCUGGCGGCGUGCUUAACACAUGCAAGUCGAACGGAAAGGCCCUGCUUUUGUGGGGUGCUCGAGUGGCGAACGGGUGAGUAACACGUGAGUAACCUGCCCUUGACUUUGGGAUAACUUCAGGAAACUGGGGCAAAUACCGGAUAGGAGCUCCUGCGGCAGGGUGGGGGUGGGAAAGUUUCGGCGGUUGGGGAUGGACUCGCGGCUUAUCAGCUUGUUGGUGGGGUAGUGGCUUACCAAGGCUUUGACGGGUAGCCGGCCUGAGAGGGUGACCGGCCACAUUGGGACUGAGAUACGGCCCAGACUCCUACGGGAGGCAGCAGUGGGGAAUAUUGCACAAUGGGCGGAAGCCUGAUGCAGCAACGCCGCGUGCGGGAUGACGGCCUUCGGGUUGUAAACCGCUUUCGCCUGUGACGAAGCGUGAGUGACGGUAAUGGGUAAAGAAGCACCGGCUAACUACGUG